RNAcentral lists this ribosomal RNA (403 nucleotides) under uncultured bacterium. RNAcentral describes it as "partial 16S ribosomal RNA". It matches the Rfam family "Bacterial small subunit ribosomal RNA", at positions 28 to 526 of the family's 1533-position model. The record is from RNAcentral.
GACGAACGCUGGCGGCGUGCCUAAUACAUGCAAGUCGAACGCAGUGGGGACGGGUGAGUAACACGUGGGUAACCUCCCAUCAGAGGGGAUAACACUUGGAAACAGGUGCUAAACCGAUACUGAUGGAUGGACCCGCGGUGCAUUAGCUAGUUGGUGAGGUAACGGCUCACCAAGGCCACGAUGCAUAGCCGACCUGAGAGGUUGAUCGGCCACACUGGGACUGAGACACGGCCCAGACUCCUACGGGAGGUAGCAGUGGGGAAUCUUGGGCAAUGGACGAAAGGCUGACGGAGCAACGCCGCGUGAGUGAAGAAGGUUUUCGGGUCGUAAAGCUCUUUUGUGGGAGAAGCGGUAUCUAACCAGAAAGCAACGGCUAACUACGUGCCAGAAGCCGCGGUAAUAC